Molecule: ribosomal RNA, 352 nt
Filed under: uncultured bacterium
Lineage: Bacteria
Description: bacterial SSU rRNA
Rfam family: Bacterial small subunit ribosomal RNA
Source: RNAcentral
GGGCCCGCACAAGCGGUGGAUUAUGUGGAUUAAUUCGAUGCAACGCGAAAAACCUUACCUGGCCUUGACAUGUACCGAAUUUAGCAGAGAUGCUUUAGUGCUCGUAAGAGAACGGUAACACAGGUGCUGCAUGGCUGUCGUCAGCUCGUGUCGUGAGAUGUUGGUUAAGUCCCGCAACGAGCGCAACCCUUGCCAUUAAUUGCCAUCAUUUAGUUGGGCACUUUAAUGGGACUGCCGGUGACAAACCGGAGGAAGGUGGGGAUGACGUCAAGUCCUCAUGGCCCUUAUGGCCAGGGCUUCACACGUGCUACAAUGGGGAAUACAGACGGACGCUAAGCCGCGAGGUGGUGCU